UACGAAGGGGGCUAGCGUUGCUCGGAAUCACUGGGCGUAAAGCGCACGUAGGCGGCUUUCUAAGUCAGGGGUGAAAUCCUGGAGCUCAACUCCAGAACUGCCUUUGAUACUGGAGAGCUUGAGUCCGGGAGAGGUGAGUGGAACUCCGAGUGUAGAGGUGAAAUUCGCAGAUAUUCGGAAGAACACCAGUGGCGAAGGCGGCUCACUGGCCCGGUACUGACGCUGAGGUGCGAAAGCGUGGGGAGCAAACAGG
RNAcentral lists this ribosomal RNA (253 nucleotides) under uncultured bacterium. RNAcentral describes it as "partial 16S ribosomal RNA". It matches the Rfam family "Bacterial small subunit ribosomal RNA", at positions 524 to 776 of the family's 1533-position model. The record is from RNAcentral.